RNAcentral lists this ribosomal RNA (229 nucleotides) under uncultured microorganism. RNAcentral's name for it is "partial 16S ribosomal RNA". It matches the Rfam family "Archaeal small subunit ribosomal RNA", at positions 330 to 563 of the family's 1478-position model. The record is from RNAcentral.
GUGCAGCAGGCGCGAAUCCUUCGCAAUGCGCGAAAGCGCGACGAGGGACUCCGAGUGCCUAUGCUCAGCAUAGGCUGUUCACCGGUGUAAAAGCCGGUGGAGGAAGGGGUGGACAAGACUGGUGCCAGCCGCCGCGGUAAUACCAGCGCCCAAGUGGUGAUCGAUAUUAUUGGGUCUAAAACGUCCGUAGCCGGCCCGGUAAAUCUCCGGGUAAAUCGUCCAGCUUAAC